Molecule: RNA transcript, 1941 nt
Organism: Musa acuminata AAA Group (dessert banana)
Lineage: Eukaryota; Viridiplantae; Streptophyta; Magnoliopsida; Zingiberales; Musaceae
Exons: 9
Source: RefSeq, a predicted model, not a curated record
CUCAGGGCUGGAUCCAAUGCAGAGGAUUCUAACAGCUAUUUCCAUCUCGUCCCCGCACCUCCACUUCGAAACCCCAACUCCCAAUUCCCGUCCGGAAACCCGAAGCUCAAUCUUUUAUAGCUCUCCUCCUCCCGGUGCUCCGCCGGACCAAUUUGAGAGUGACGACGACGGCUUUCUCGUAAUUGAUCGUGAUGGAAAAGGGUAUUUCUGUCAAUUGGAACUGUGGAUAACGUGGGAUCGAGCGGCUGCCCUCUUAUUCAAAAUUAGGGUUUCUUCUUCUUGUUUCGUGUUGCUUUCGAGAUCUCUAGCAGAGAAUUAUGGCGUUAAUGAUGAUGACUGCGUUCGGUCCGAAGCUUCCGCUUCAACGGGAUAAAUCUCGAAUUUCUCGAGUGAUGGUGCCACUAAGUUUGAAAGCCACUCUAAGUAGAACAACUGAAAGAGCUACUGCUUGUAAUGUAUGGGAAGGUCAAAGCCUAACAUUUUUGCAUCAAAGAGGCUUAAGGCAUUCCCCUUGGUCCACAUUUGCAGUUGGUCCAGGUUUAGAAGCAUCAAUAUCUGAUCCGUCAAAGAAUGACAUAAGAUUGGACAAUGUUAAGAUAGUCAUCGAGUCACGUGACAAUGAUAAGAUUACUGUAAGAGUGGACUUAACUGGUGAGGAAACACAGAAGGCAUUUGAUAUUGUCUUAACAAAUUUGGCUCGCACUGCACCUCCAAUUCCAGGAUUCCGGAGAAUGAAAGGAGGAAAGACAUCCAAUGCAAAGGGGAAGGCAGUAGCAUCAGUUGCAUCGUUGGAAAGAAUCGGGUCGGACGACGAGACACCUUCACAAUCACAUUCUCUUUCUCGCUCGGUCCAGAGACAUGACAGCAACACGGACAGCAGUGCCUUGACAGAUGAUGGCGGUGAUGCCGGGCAAUCGUUGGUCUCGUCUACACAACUUGAGAGUAGUGAAUGGAUUGAGGAGCAAUAUUUUACACAUGCCACUCAAGAUUCAGAUCAUGGAACUCGACAAGGUAGUGGUCAAGUUUAUGCGCGGAAGGGGAAGGGGAAGGGGAAGGCAGUGGAUGAAUAUGAACAAAUACGACAGAGCAUACAUGAUAUAGACACAGAAAGAGGCUCAUCGUAUUAUGGAGAAUCAUACGGGCAACAACAAGAUGGUGAUAGUUGGUCAUCCUUCUCUGAGCAACAACAUUAUACAGAACAACACCAAUAUAUGCCUCAAGAGCUGCCUCGGACAAAUAUGAUUCAUGACGAUCAGUCUACGAUCAACACCACAUUGAUGCAUCAAUGGCACACGGUGUAUCAAUAUACUAUGUCAUGGGAUCAAUUUCAUGAUUGGGUCCAACAAACGUAUCAUAUUGAUAUGUAUCGGAUCGAGGACCCCGAUCCACUACCCGUGGAAGCCCGUCGUUCGUUUUGGUGGUAGAACAACAAUCAGGUAUAUCUAGAUAUGUGAUAAUUUAUUUCAUUUGAAUUUUAGAGUUUAUAUUGUAACAAAAUAGUCUAACAAUUUAACUGAUUUUUCUGUAGAUAUUUCAAUCUAUAACGGGCUGAAAUACGAACCUCGAACAAGACUACCUCAAAGCCUGAAAAAGAUAUGUGAUACUAUUUUUACCUAAUUUACAUUGAUUUUGCUAAACCUAUACUAUUACUAUAUUUAUUUGUAACUUGAAAACCCUAUCCUAACUUUUUUUUCUAAUUUUCAGGUAUUUUGGAGGGAUAAAUCGGUAAAAUCGGGUGUACCGCUCGGUACACCCGUACCGUACCGUACCGAGCCCGGGUCGAAACUCCGGUAUGGUACGGUGCCAAAGAGCUUUCUAUUACAGAUGCUUGGGCGAGACCGUGUAACUAAAUUUCUUAUACAAGAAAUUGUUGGUAUUACAAUUGGAGACUAUGUGAAGAAGGAAAACCUAAAGGUGAAAAGCCAGUUUAAAACGAUCCAG